GACGUAGGAGGCGAGCGUUGUCCGGAUUCAUUGGGCGUAAAGAGCGCGCAGGCGGCUUGGUAAGUCGGAUGUGAAAUCCCGAGGCUCAACCUCGGGUCUGCAUCCGAUACUGCCCGGCUAGAGGUAGGUAGGGGAGAUCGGAAUUCCUGGUGUAGCGGUGAAAUGCGCAGAUAUCAGGAGGAACACCAAUGGCGAAGGCAGCUCGCUGGGACGGUACUGACGCUGAGACGCGAAAGCGUGGGGAGCAAACAGG
This 253-nucleotide ribosomal RNA is filed under the name uncultured bacterium. RNAcentral describes it as "partial 16S ribosomal RNA". It matches the Rfam family "Bacterial small subunit ribosomal RNA", at positions 524 to 776 of the family's 1533-position model. The record is from RNAcentral.